AAAAAAUUGUUCAUGUUCUAAGUAGCAUGAAACCAAUUCUUGGCACAUCCACCUGUUGAAGAAGAUUUGUUUGGAACCAUCUGAAACAACAAUAUAUAAUGUCUCUAUCAAUAAAUAUCCACAAAUUUU
Molecule: non-coding RNA, 129 nt
Organism: Arachis ipaensis
Lineage: Eukaryota; Viridiplantae; Streptophyta; Magnoliopsida; Fabales; Fabaceae
Source: RefSeq, a predicted model, not a curated record